GCUUAAAAUUUGAAGUGCUGACUUCGAGGUACUACUUCAGUACGACUGAUGAGCACGCGAUGACAGACCAUGUGAAGCACAUCUGAAGUGAAUACAGGGAAGCAGCACCAAUCACCUGCAAUGUGACACACUGCUGAGAGGAAGUGAAAAUUGAAUGAAACCAGAAACGACACUAUUCACCCAGUAUAACGCUGCUGAUGUCACAGUAUUGAUGCAUGAGAACACAAACUUGCGGAGCUUCAGGUCCCCCAAAAUGAUGCCAACCUGGUGGCAGUGGUACACUGCAGAUACC
This is a long non-coding RNA of Sinocyclocheilus anshuiensis, 292 nucleotides long. RefSeq lists it as uncharacterized. The transcript is spliced from 3 exons. The record is from RefSeq and is a predicted model, not a curated record. Lineage: Eukaryota; Metazoa; Chordata; Actinopteri; Cypriniformes; Cyprinidae.